CUUCAAUAAAAGCCAGUGCGCGAUGCGGCACACAGUCCAAGUGGAAAUUAGUAAAAGAUUCGUGGCCGGACCGUUUCCAACAAGUGCGCAAUCACAGGAAAGGAAAAUUUCACGCUUACGGAAAAUUAAACAUUUGCAUCGAUUUUGUGUGGGACGACAGUCCGUCGGCAAUUUGUAGAUUGCAUUGAAGGGUGAAUAAACGCGAGUGUGCUGAAUGUGAUAAUAAGUACAUACAUACAUAGUUAUAUUUUUUUGUGAUCCAAGAGCAUUCUUGAAAUCGGAGGCAAAUCUUCCACUUAACUUCGACAAAGUGCAACGCGUUAGCCAGAAGGCGAUAUCCAAACCAAAGAUAACUACAGCAAGACCAGCGAACAGCGUGCAAGGAGAGCUACAUUUGUACAUAGAAGAAGAAAAGUGAGAUUGAGAGCACAACGAAAGUCGAAGAAAGGAACCAAAACGUAAUUUUAGAAACGGAGUGCAAUAUUUGGCUGGUGGGCUGGAUGACAUCCCAAAAACAUAAAUAACAAAAACUGACUUAUUAGCAGCGCUAGUGGUCGCUUUUGGUGUCCCAAUAAUAGUCUCCAUUCCAACUGCAUACAUG
Molecule: long non-coding RNA, 601 nt
Organism: Rhagoletis zephyria (snowberry fruit fly)
Lineage: Eukaryota; Metazoa; Arthropoda; Insecta; Diptera; Tephritidae
Source: RefSeq, a predicted model, not a curated record